AAACCAUGAUGAGGGCAGUCUCUCUCAUACUCUUCAAAUCGCUUCCACGCCUCAAAGAAUGAUUCUAUUGAGCCUUGUUGGAAACUUUGUAUCUUGUUUCUCAUUU
Molecule: small nucleolar RNA, 106 nt
Filed under: Eutrema salsugineum
Lineage: Eukaryota; Viridiplantae; Streptophyta; Magnoliopsida; Brassicales; Brassicaceae
Description: Plant small nucleolar RNA R71
Rfam family: Plant small nucleolar RNA R71
About the family: R71 is a member of the C/D box family of snoRNAs containing the C (UGAUGA) and D (CUGA) box motifs. Multiple nearly identical copies of this snoRNA have been identified in Arabidopsis, and it is thought to function as a 2'-O-ribose methylation guide for 18S ribosomal RNA.
Source: Rfam by way of RNAcentral